CCUACGGGUUGCAGCAGUGGGGAAUAUUGCACAAUGGGCGCAAGCCUGAUGCAGCCAUGCCGCGUGUAUGAAGAAGGCCUUCGGGUUGUAAAGUACUUUCAGCGGGGAGGAAGGUGUUGUGGUUAAUAACCGCAGCAAUUGACGUUACCCGCAGAAGAAGCACCGGCUAACUCCGUGCCAGCAGCCGCGGUAAUACGGAGGGUGCAAGCGUUAAUCGGAAUUACUGGGCGUAAAGCGCACGCAGGCGGUUUGUUAAGUCAGAUGUGAAAUCCCCGGGCUCAACCUGGGAACUGCAUCUGAUACUGGCAAGCUUGAGUCUCGUAGAGGGGGGUAGAAUUCCAGGUGUAGCGGUGAAAUGCGUAGAGAUCUGGAGGAAUACCGGUGGCGAAGGCGGCCCCCUGGACGAAGACUGACGCUCAGGUGCGAAAGCGUGGGGAGCAAACAGGAUUAGAUACCCGAGUAGUC
This 465-nucleotide ribosomal RNA is filed under the name uncultured bacterium. RNAcentral describes it as "bacterial SSU rRNA". It matches the Rfam family "Bacterial small subunit ribosomal RNA", at positions 338 to 795 of the family's 1533-position model. The record is from RNAcentral.